GCCUGGGUGGCUCAGUCGGUUGAGCGUCUGACUUUGGCUCAGGUCAUGAUCUCGUGGUUUGUGGGUUCAAGCCCCGUGUUGGGUU
This 85-nucleotide transfer RNA is filed under the name Felis catus (domestic cat). It matches the Rfam family "tRNA". Rfam says of the family: Transfer RNA (tRNA) molecules are approximately 80 nucleotides in length. Their secondary structure includes four short double-helical elements and three loops (D, anti-codon, and T loops). Further hydrogen bonds mediate the characteristic L-shaped molecular structure. tRNAs have two regions of fundamental functional importance: the anti-codon, which is responsible for specific mRNA codon recognition, and the 3' end, to which the tRNAs corresponding amino acid is attached (by aminoacyl-tRNA synthetases). tRNAs cope with the degeneracy of the genetic code in two manners: having more than one tRNA (with a specific anti-codon) for a particular amino acid; and 'wobble' base-pairing, i.e. permitting non-standard base-pairing at the 3rd anti-codon position. Lineage: Eukaryota; Metazoa; Chordata; Mammalia; Carnivora; Felidae. The record is from Rfam by way of RNAcentral.